This 921-nucleotide ribosomal RNA is filed under the name Triticum aestivum (bread wheat). Its description in RNAcentral is "partial small subunit ribosomal RNA". Lineage: Eukaryota; Viridiplantae; Streptophyta; Magnoliopsida; Poales; Poaceae. The record is from RNAcentral.
AUGGAGACGGCCCGCCGGAGACAUGUUCGAGCCGCCGGCCCUGCCUUCACGUCAGCCAUCCUUGUGAUCUUCGCCUUCACAUGUGUGGAAUCUAAACCGGCGCGGGCACGAACGCCAGAGCAUGCGUCUGGACCGGCGUCUGCACCUGCCCAUGCGCCUGCGUCUGGGCCUGAUCAGGCGGCAGCUUCUCACGCUCUGUUCAACUACAAGGAGAAAGACCCAACUGGGCCCGACAAAUGGGCCAAGCUGAAUAAGGGAUGGGCUGCCUGUGGCGACGGCAAGAAGCAGUCCCCGAUCAACAUCCGCAAGGUGAAAAUCAACAAGGACAUGGGCCCUCUAGAGCAGACCUACAAGUUAAGCGCCUGCACACUGGAAAACCGCGGGCACGACUUCAUCCUGCAAUGGAAAGGUGGGAAUGGCAAGUUGACGAUCGAGAAGAAGGAUUACGUGCUCCAGCAGGUGCACUGGCACGUGCCCUCGGAGCACACCGCCAAUGGCACCAGGUUCGACAUGGAGUUGCACAUGGUUCACGAGGACUCCAGCAAGGCGCGCGCCGUCGUCUCCGUGCUCUACUCCACCAAAGAGGCCGGCGACCCCGACAAGACGCUGACUGAUCUGGCGCCAUAUUUCAAGAGGCUCGCCGGCAAGUACAACGAGAACGAGGAUGUGAAGGAGCCCGUUGAUCCGUCCGUCUGGGUCGACAAGGCCUCGAGCUACUACAGAUACGACGGCUCCCUCACCACUCCGCCUUGCACCGAAGGGGUUCUUUGGAACAUCCUGAGCAAGGUGAAACACGUAUCAAAGGAGCAUAUCAAGAUGAUGGAGUCGGUGAGCGAGAAACCUGAGCCAAAUGCCCGGCCGGCUCAGAAAAUCCAUGGUCGAGUUGUUCGCUACUUCGAAGGCAAAGAAGCAAAAGAUUGA